AUCAACUUUCGAUGGUAGGAUAGAGGCCAACCAUGGUGGUAACGGGUAACGGGGUGUUAGGGCACGACACCGGAGAGGGAGCCUGAGAAACGGCUACCACAUCCAAGGAUGGCAGCAGGCGCGCAAAUUACCCAAUCCCGACACGGGGAGGUAGUGACAAUAAAUAACAAUACGGGGUUCUUUUGGAUUUCGUAAUUGGAAUGAGUACAAUUUAAAUCUCUUAACGAGGAACAAUUGGAGGGCAAGUCUGGUGCCAGCAGCCGCGGUAAUUCCAGCUCCAAUAGCGUAUAUUAAAGUUGUUGCAGUUAAAAAGCUCGUAGUUGAAUUUCGGGGUUAGUAGGCUGGUCAUGCCACAGGUAUGCACUGGUCUUACUGAUUCCUCCUUCCUGAUGAACCGUAAUGCCAUUAAUUUGGUGUUGCGGGGAGUCUGGACUGUUACUUUGAAAAAAUUAGAGUGUUUAAAGCAGGCUAACGCUUGAAUACAUUAGCAUGGAAUAACGAAAUAGGACGUUCGAUCUUAUUUUGUUGGUUUCUAGGAUUGACGUAAUGAUUAAUAGGGAUAGUUGGGGGCAUUAGUAUUCAAUUGUCAGAGGUGAAAUUCUUGGAUUUAUUGAAGACUAACUACUGCGAAAGCAUUUGCCAAGGAUGUUUUCAUUAAUCAAGAACGAAAGUUAGGGGAUCGAAGACGAUCAGAUACCGUCGUAGUCUUAACCAUAAACUAUGCCGACUAGGGAUCGGAUGAUGUUAAUUUUAUAAUGACUCAUUCGGCGCCUUACGGGAAACCAAAGUGUUUGGGUU
This 798-nucleotide ribosomal RNA is filed under the name Glomus sp. MC3. RNAcentral describes it as "SSU rRNA". It matches the Rfam family "Eukaryotic small subunit ribosomal RNA", at positions 314 to 1113 of the family's 1831-position model. Lineage: Eukaryota; Fungi; Glomeromycota; Glomeromycetes; Glomerales; Glomeraceae. The record is from RNAcentral.